UGGCUACCAAAAAUAAUUAAGGUUGCAAGAGUCUGAAUGAUAAAAACAUAGUUGAGUCCAAGGACUGAACUUUAUCAAUCACAUCUGAUGAAGCCAAAGGGAAUCCCACUGACACUGAUAGGAAAGAUACGUCGCAUUGCCAAAACCAAUCAAUUUACUCGGUGAGGCAAGUAAUCAUGCAGUGUCAUUUUUAUAGAUUUUCUGACUAAAUGGCCACAUCAUUUUCAUCAUUUUUCUCAUUGAAAGUUUUUUGAUCUUUUAGACAGCUUCUGAUGUCGACGCAGACUGGAACAUCGCCCUUUAAUUUGGCCAUUUCAUGUACAGAUUGCAGCUUUGCACU
This 340-nucleotide long non-coding RNA is filed under the name Eucalyptus grandis. RNAcentral's name for it is "long non-coding RNA (EGRA_LNC000447)". Lineage: Eukaryota; Viridiplantae; Streptophyta; Magnoliopsida; Myrtales; Myrtaceae. The record is from RNAcentral.